CCUUCCCUUGUGUUGGCAGCAGGGAGGCUGGGAAGAAGCAAGAUGGCAGGGAGGAAGGAGCUGAGAAUUCCUCUUCUCUGUGCUGAAGGUCUGUGAGAAAGGUCCAUGGCUCUGUGGCUCUGAAGUCUGGACACUUGGCCAUUCACCAGUUGUAAGAGGUGGCUCAGCCAGCACCCAAGUGCUCAAGGAG
RNAcentral lists this long non-coding RNA (190 nucleotides) under Camelus dromedarius (Arabian camel). Its description in RNAcentral is "lncRNA (ENSCDRG00005020422.1)". Lineage: Eukaryota; Metazoa; Chordata; Mammalia; Artiodactyla; Camelidae. The record is from RNAcentral.